UGGGGAAUAUUGCACAAUGGGCGCAAGCCUGAUGCAGCCAUGCCGCGUGUGUGAAGAAGGCCUUCGGGUUGUAAAGCACUUUCAGCGAGGAGGAAGGUGGUGAACUUAAUACGUUCAUCAAUUGACGUUACUCGCAGAAGAAGCACCGGCUAACUCCGUGCCAGCAGCCGCGGUAAUACGGAGGGUGCAAGCGUUAAUCGGAAUUACUGGGCGUAAAGCGCACGCAGGCGGUUUGUUAAGUCAGAUGUGAAAUCCCCGGGCUCAACCUGGGAACUGCAUUUGAAACUGGCAAGCUAGAGUCUCGUAGAGGGGAGUAGAAUUCCAGGUGUAGCGGUGAAAUGCGUAGAGAUCUGGAGGAAUACCGGUGGCGAAGGCGGCCCCCUGGACGAAGACUGACGCUCAGGUGCGAAAGCGUGGGGCAGCAAACAGGAUUAGAUACCCUGGUAGUCCACGCUGUAAACGAUGUCGAUUUUGGAGGUUGUGCCCUUGAGGCGUGGNUUCCGGAGCUAACGCGUUAAAUCGACCGCCUGGGGAGUACGGCC
This 542-nucleotide ribosomal RNA is filed under the name uncultured bacterium. RNAcentral describes it as "partial 16S ribosomal RNA". It matches the Rfam family "Bacterial small subunit ribosomal RNA", at positions 355 to 887 of the family's 1533-position model. The record is from RNAcentral.